Molecule: ribosomal RNA, 253 nt
Filed under: uncultured bacterium
Lineage: Bacteria
Description: partial 16S ribosomal RNA
Rfam family: Bacterial small subunit ribosomal RNA
Source: RNAcentral
GACGUAGGGCGCGAGCGUUGUCCGGAUUUAUUGGGCGUAAAGAGCUCGUAGGCGGCUUGUUGCGUCGACCGUGAAAACCCGGGGCUCAACUUCGGGCUUGCGGUCGAUACGGGCGGGCUAGAGUUCGGUAGGGGAGACUGGGAUUCCUGGUGUAGCGGUGAAAUGCGCAGAUAUCAGGAGGAACACCGGUGGCGAAGGCGGGUCUCUGGGCCGAUACUGACGCUGAGGAGCGAAAGCGUGGGGAGCGAACAGG